UAGGGAAUCUUCCACAAUGGACGCAAGUCUGAUGGAGCAACGCCGCGUGAGUGAAGAAGGUUUUCGGAUCGUAAAGCUCUGUUGUUGGUGAAGAAGGAUAGAGGUAGUAACUGGCCUUUAUUUGACGGUAAUCAACCAGAAAGUCACGGCUAACUACGUGCCAGCAGCCGCGGUAAUACGUAGGUGGCAAGCGUUGUCCGGAUUUAUUGGGCGUAAAGCGAGCGCAGGCGGAAGAAUAAGUCUGAUGUGAAAGCCCUCGGCUUAACCGAGGAACUGCAUCGGAAACUGUGUUUCUUGAGUGCAGAAGAGGAGAGUGGAAUUCCAUGUGUAGCGGUGGAAUGCGUAGAUAUAUGGAAGAACACCAGUGGCGAAGGCGACUCUCUGGUCUGCAACUGACGCUGAGGCUCGAAAGCAUGGGUAGCGAACAGG
This 429-nucleotide ribosomal RNA is filed under the name bacterium. RNAcentral's name for it is "partial 16S ribosomal RNA". It matches the Rfam family "Bacterial small subunit ribosomal RNA", at positions 355 to 776 of the family's 1533-position model. The record is from RNAcentral.